AAUCAACGCUGGCGGCGUGCCUCAGACAUGCAAGUCGAACGAUUAAAGCUCUCUUCGGAGAGUGUAUAGAGUGGCGCACGGGUGAGUAACACGUAAGUAAUCUACCUUCGAGUGGGGAAUAACCCGGGGAAACCCGAGCUAAUACCGCAUAAUGCAGCGGCAUCGCAAGAUGACAGUUGUUAAAGGAAUUUACUUCGCUU
This 200-nucleotide ribosomal RNA is filed under the name uncultured bacterium. RNAcentral describes it as "partial 16S ribosomal RNA". It matches the Rfam family "Bacterial small subunit ribosomal RNA", at positions 32 to 220 of the family's 1533-position model. The record is from RNAcentral.